CUACGGGCGGCAGCAGUGAGGAAUUUUGCGCAAUGGGGGAAACCCUGACGCAGCAACGCCGCGUGAGUGAAGAAGGCCCUUGGGUCGUAAAGCUCUGUCAAUGGGGAAGAAGUUACUUGGUAUUAAUAGUGCCUUGUAUUGACGGUACCCAUGAAGGAAGCACCGGCUAACUCCGUGCCAGCAGCCGCGGUAAUACGGGGGGUGCAAGCGUUAUUCGGAAUUAUUGAGCGUAAAGGGCACGCAGGCGGUCCUGUCAGUCAGAUGUGAAAGCCCGGGGCUCAACCCCGGACGUGCAUUUGAAACAGCAGGACUUGAGUACGGGAGAGGAAAGGGGAAUUCCUGGUGUAGAGGUGAAAUUCGUAGAUAUUAGGAGGAACACCGGUGGCGAAGGCGCCUUUCUGGACCGAUACUGACGCUGAGGUGCGAAGGCGUGGGUAGCGAACGGGAUUAGAUACCCUAGUAGUC
This 465-nucleotide ribosomal RNA is filed under the name uncultured bacterium. RNAcentral describes it as "partial 16S ribosomal RNA". It matches the Rfam family "Bacterial small subunit ribosomal RNA", at positions 339 to 795 of the family's 1533-position model. The record is from RNAcentral.